Molecule: non-coding RNA, 324 nt
Filed under: Robinsoniella sp. RHS
Lineage: Bacteria; Bacillati; Bacillota; Clostridia; Lachnospirales; Lachnospiraceae
Description: Bacterial large subunit ribosomal RNA
Rfam family: Bacterial large subunit ribosomal RNA
Source: Rfam by way of RNAcentral
GCGAGCUGGGUUCAGAACGUCGUGAGACAGUUCGGUCCCUAUCCGGCGUGGGCGCAGGAUAUUUGAGAGGAGCUGACCUUAGUACGAGAGGACCGGGUUGGACUGACCUCUGGUGUACCGGUUGUUCUACCAAGAGCAUGGCCGGGUAGCCAAGUCGGGAAGGGAUAAACGCUGAAGGCAUCUAAGCGUGAAGCCCCCCUCAAGAUGAGAUAUCCCCCGCAUAAGCGGUAAGACCCCUUGAAGACGACGAGGUAGAUAGGUUAGAGGUGGAAGUGCAGUAAUGUAUGGAGCUGACUAAUACUAAUAGGUCGAAGGCUUAUCCAU